UGGGCAACCUGCCCCUCUCUCUGGGAUAACCCCCGGGGAAACCCGGAGCUAAUACCGGAUACUCCGGCUGGAUCGCAUGGUCCGGCCGGGAAAGGUCCGCCGGAGAGGGAUGGGCCCGCGGCCUAUCAGCUUGUUGGUGGGGUCAUGGCUCACCAAGGCGACGACGGGUAGCCGGCCUGAGAGGGUGACCGGCCACACUGGGACUGAGACACGGCCCAGACUCCUACGGGAGCA
This 234-nucleotide ribosomal RNA is filed under the name uncultured bacterium. RNAcentral's name for it is "partial 16S ribosomal RNA". It matches the Rfam family "Bacterial small subunit ribosomal RNA", at positions 118 to 347 of the family's 1533-position model. The record is from RNAcentral.